CCGCACCUCCAGGCGGGAGCGAUGCGGCGCCGCUUCUGGGGCGUGUUCAACUGCCUGUGCGCCGGCGCGUUCGGGGCCUUGGCUGCCGCCUCCGCCAAGCUGGCCUUCGGCAGCGAGGUCGAGCCGGGGGCGCCGCUGCGGCGGGCCGGCGGGUGGGGCCGGGGCAGGAGGGGCGCUGCGGGGCAGCGGGGCUUCGGGAUGGAGCGGGGCUGGGAGCACAGGGGGGCCGCCUCACCCGCGCUGGCCUGUUUGGCCCACUCCGCAGCCGGGCACUACUGACAGCGUGGGCAGGAAGGCAUCCCUCGACUCCAUAUCACGCCCAACCCACGUCCAUUGUAGGUGGUAAGAGACUUCGGGGACUGAGGCUUGUACCCUUAUCUGGGACCUAAAAUCUGUCCUCCGAUUGGGCUAGUUCACUCUCGGGGAAGACGCACACCUUCCACAUCCACUCUCUACCUCUCAUUUUAAGCCCUUUGUGCCCGAACAUUUCUCUCCACGUGACUGUAAAGGUGAGACAUCUGUUGCCCAUCUCUUUAACUCCGUAGUUAAUGGCUGUUUUGACUGGUCUCCCCUGCUGGCGGAAACUUGGGAAUUUGGGAUAUCCUAGGUAUAAGGGAGACUGAGAGAAACAUUCUGGACAUAACCCCGAUGUUGAGAACUCCUUAACUGCCUCCCCAUGUCUGCUAAAGGCGUACCUUUGCCUCUCCCAUCGCGAGUCAUAGGCCACCUUCUGCUUGUUAAAGAGAUUUCAUUGCAUCUGCAACCCAGGGUUAGGCCCUGACCUGGACAGUAGACAGGUUGAUUCUUUAGGUUUAAGCUAAUCCAGUGGGAGCUGCCAUGCUCGAGGUUGGUAUCCUGUUGGGUGUAAUUCUUGGAGUAAGUGGUCCAAAGUAAGAUGAGUGACUAUGAGCCAUGAGGUUUUUCUAGUCUUCUCAGUUGUGCAUCAGACCGUCAUAAGCCUUUACAUAAGCAGGCUGGCACUGGCACAUAAAAUGCUUCUGUGUAAAUUAUACAGAGACACUCCAUCCUUAAGACUCUGUAUAUUCACCUGCUGAUGAGAAGUAAGAGGAUGAGGUGUAGAUGGGCACCAUCCCCAGGAGAAGCAGCUCUGUCUGCAGGCAGGUUUAUAACUCAAAACCAAACAAGGGGUCUGCAUAUCCUUUGUGUAGGAGGCUUCUAAAGAUCCUCUCUUCUUUCAGUGCUCUCCUUUAAAAAAAAAAGAAAAAUAUCUGCAAGUUCUCCAAGUGAUGCCUGGGGUCACCAGUCAAAUAGUCCCCCGUGUGGUUUCCCUAGGCAUGGCUGUGUCCUAGUUUAGAUCAUGGAGCCACACUUCCUGGGCCUGAAUCCUGGCGGCUCCCCACAGCUGUGGCGUUUUAGGCAGGUUACUUAAUGCCUCAGGUUCUUUAUCUGUAAAAUGAAGUUAAGGAAUAAAUGAAAAUGUACUUAAAACACUUAGCACAGGGCCUGGUACUGAGUAAAAGCUCAAGAAUGCCCAGUGGGACCGGCCUGAGUGGGUUUUAGCCUUCACAGAAUGGGGGUGGGGGUGGGGAGACGACUAAUUCAUGCUUUACCUGAUCCCGGGAAGUGACGACUCCGCCCCUGAUUUACUCAUCCCUCAGACUGAGCAAUAACCACUUGGCCUGCUGAGACUGAACUUCAUGCACUCGUCACUGUGAGGCCAAUAAGGGACUGGUGUUCAAUAGAAGAUAACUGGUGAACGUGGGCUUCUGCGUCUUAGGCAUUAUUGUGAUGGCUACCACCAAUUCUCUGAUGUGGACGUUCUUUAGCCGGGGCCUCAGUUUCUCCAUGUCUUCAGCCAUUGCAUCUGUCACAGUGACUUUUUCAAAUAUCCUCAGCUCGGUGAGUAGCCUGAGCGUACAGUUUCUCUGUCCCAAACCUGGGCUCUG
RNA transcript from Aethalodelphis obliquidens (Pacific white-sided dolphin), 1907 nucleotides. It is a transcript of the gene named transmembrane protein 42, with no coding region annotated. Lineage: Eukaryota; Metazoa; Chordata; Mammalia; Artiodactyla; Delphinidae. The transcript has 2 exons. The record is from RefSeq and is a predicted model, not a curated record.